RNAcentral lists this ribosomal RNA (540 nucleotides) under bacterium EP2.07. RNAcentral describes it as "bacterial SSU rRNA". It matches the Rfam family "Bacterial small subunit ribosomal RNA", at positions 92 to 627 of the family's 1533-position model. The record is from RNAcentral.
UCAGCGGCGGACGGGUGAGUAAUGCCUAGGAAUCUGCCUGGUAGUGGGGGACAACGUUUCGAAAGGAACGCUAAUACCGCAUACGUCCUACGGGAGAAAGCAGGGGACCUUCGGGCCUUGCGCUAUCAGAUGAGCCUAGGUCGGAUUAGCUAGUUGGUGAGGUAAUGGCUCACCAAGGCGACGAUCCGUAACUGGUCUGAGAGGAUGAUCAGUCACACUGGAACUGAGACACGGUCCAGACUCCUACGGGAGGCAGCAGUGGGGAAUAUUGGACAAUGGGCGAAAGCCUGAUCCAGCCAUGCCGCGUGUGUGAAGAAGGUCUUCGGAUUGUAAAGCACUUUAAGUUGGGAGGAAGGGCAGUAAGUUAAUACCUUGCUGUUUUGACGUUACCGACAGAAUAAGCACCGGCUAACUUCGUGCCAGCAGCCGCGGUAAUACGAAGGGUGCAAGCGUUAAUCGGAAUUACUGGGCGUAAAGCGCGCGUAGGUGGUUUGUUAAGUUGGAUGUGAAAGCCCCGGGCUCAACCUGGGGAACUGCAUC